CCCUUAGAUGUUCUGGGCCGCACGCGCGCUACACUGAUGCAUUCAACGAGCCUAUCCUUGACCGACAGGUCCGGGUAAUCUUUGAAUCUGCAUCGUGACGGGGAUAGAUUAUUGCAAUUAUUAAUCUUCAACGAGGAAUGCCUAGUAGGCGCAAGUCAUCAGCUUGCGUCGAUUACGUCCCUGUCCUUUGUACACACCGCCCGUCGCUCCUACCGAUUGGGUGUGCUGGUGAAAUGUUCGGAUCGGCCGUUUGUCGCGGUUUCCGCGUCAUGUGGCUGAGAAGUUCAUUAAACCCUCCCACCUAGAGGAAGGAGAAGUCGUAACA
Molecule: ribosomal RNA, 325 nt
Filed under: uncultured eukaryote
Lineage: Eukaryota
Description: partial 18S ribosomal RNA
Rfam family: Eukaryotic small subunit ribosomal RNA
Source: RNAcentral